RNAcentral lists this ribosomal RNA (495 nucleotides) under Hyposerica sp. DA4312. RNAcentral describes it as "partial 16S large subunit ribosomal RNA". It matches the Rfam family "Bacterial large subunit ribosomal RNA", at positions 1844 to 2600 of the family's 2925-position model. The record is from RNAcentral. Lineage: Eukaryota; Metazoa; Arthropoda; Insecta; Coleoptera; Scarabaeidae.
UUUAAGGUCUAAUCUGCCCUAUGAAGAAUUAAAUGGCCGCGGUACUUUGACCGUGCAAAGGUAGCAUAAUAAUUAGUUUUUUAAUUGAAAGCUGGAAUGAAUGAUUGGACGAGAAAAUUACUGUCUCAAUUUAAUUUAAUUAGAAUUUUAUUUUUAAGUAAAAAAGCUUAAAUGUUUUUAAAAGACGAGAAGACCCUAUAGAGUUUUAUAUUUAAUUAUUUAUGAAUUUUAUAGGAUUUUUUUAUUUAUAUUUAUUUAAAUAUUUUAUUGGGGCGAUAGAAAAAUAAAACUAACUUUUUUUAAUUGUUAACAUUUAUAUAUGAAAUUUUGAUCCAUUAUUUUUGAUUAUAAGAUUAAAUUACCUUAGGGAUAACAGCGUAAUUUUUUUUUAGAGUUCUUAUCGAAAAAAAAGAUUGCGACCUCGAUGUUGGAUUAAAAUUAAUGUUUGGUGUAGGAGCUAAAUAAUUAGGUCUGUUCGACCUUUAAAAUUUUACA